Molecule: ribosomal RNA, 1501 nt
Filed under: Peritropis sp. 2 MO-2021a
Lineage: Eukaryota; Metazoa; Arthropoda; Insecta; Hemiptera; Miridae
Description: SSU rRNA
Rfam family: Eukaryotic small subunit ribosomal RNA
Source: RNAcentral
UUUGGAUAACUGUGGUAAUCCUAGAGCUAAUACAUGCAAUCAAGUCCCGACCAGUCUGACUGGGAAGGACGCUUUUAUUAGAUCAAGACCAAUCGCCCGGCUUGUCCGGGCGUUGCCUUGGUGACUCUAGGUAACACAUCAGAUCGCAUGGUCUCUGCACCGGCGACUUAUCUUUCAAAUGCCUGACUUAUCAACUGUCGAUGGUAGACUCUAUGUCUACCAUGGUUGUAACGGGUAACGGGGAAUCAGGGUUCGAUUCCGGAGAGGGAGCCUGAGAAACGGCUACCACAUCCAAGGAAGGCAGCAGGCACGCAAAUUACCCACUCCCGGCACGGGGAGGUAGUGACAAAAAAUAACGAUACGGGACUCUUUUGAGGCCCCGUAAUCGGAAUGAGUACACUUUAAAUCCUUUAACAAGGAUCCAUUGGAGGGCAAGUCUGGUGCCAGCAGCCGCGGUAAUUCCAGCUCCAAUAGCGUAUAUUAAAGUUGUUGCGGUUAAAAAGCUCGUAGUUGGUUCUGCGUGCUACGCUGCCGGUUCGCCGCCUGCCGGUGUAACUGGCAUGCCGUGGCAUGUCCUGUCGGUGGCGGAUGGGAGCCUCGUCUAGGCGAUGUACUGGGUGUCAAGCUCAGUGCCAUAAUCCGGGGGCCAACCCCAUUCGCCUAUCUAUCCUACCUAGGUGCUCUUCAUCGAGUGUCGAGGUAGGCCGACACGUUUACUUUGAACAAAUUAGAGUGCUCAAAGCAGGCUGAAAUCUCUGCCUGAAUAGUGGUGCAUGGAAUAAUAAAACAGGACCUUGGUUCUAUUUUGUUGGUUCUUAGGAACACAAGGUAAUGAUCAAUACGGACAGGCGGGGGCAUUCGUAUUGCGCCGGGAAACCAAAGCUUUUGGGUUCCGGGGGAAGUAUGGUUGCAAAGCUGAAACUUAAAGGAAUUGACGGAAGGGCACCACCAGGAGUGGAGCCUGCGGCUUAAUUUGACUCAACACGGGAAACCUCACCAGGCCAGGACAUUGGAAGGAUUGACAGAUUGAUAGCUCUUUCUUGAUUCAGUGGGUAGUGGUGCAUGGCCGUUCUUAGUUGGUGGAUCGAUUUGUCUGGUUAAUUCCGAUAACGAACGAGACUCUAGCCUAUUAACUAGGCGGUUACCGGUGUCCCCGCCACCGGCGACAUUCAUUCUUCUUAAGGGGACAGGCGGCUUACAGCCGCACGAGAUUGAGCAAUAACAGGUCUGUGAUGCCCUUAGAUGUCCUGGGCCGCACGCGCGCUACACUGAAGGAAUCAGCGUGUGCCUCCCUGGCCGAAAGGUCCGGGUAAUCCGCUGAACCUCCUGCGUGCUAGGAAUUGGGGCUUGCAAUUGUUCCCCAUGAACGAGGAAUUCCCAGUAAGCGCGAGUCAUAAGCUCGCGUUGAUUACGUCCCUGCCCUUUGUACACACCGCCCGUCGCUACUACCGAUUGAAUGAUUUAGUGAGGUCUUCGGACUGGCGGUAAUCCUACUGAUUCG